RNAcentral lists this ribosomal RNA (450 nucleotides) under uncultured bacterium. RNAcentral describes it as "partial 16S ribosomal RNA". It matches the Rfam family "Bacterial small subunit ribosomal RNA", at positions 354 to 796 of the family's 1533-position model. The record is from RNAcentral.
GUGGGGAAUAUUGGACAAUGGGCGAAAGCCUGAUCCAGCCAUGCCGCGUGUGUGAAGAAGGUCUUCGGAUUGUAAAGCACUUUAAGUUGGGAGGAAGGGCAUUAACCUAAUACGUUAGUGUUUUGACGUUACCGACAGAAUAAGCACCGGCUAACUUCGUGCCAGCAGCCGCGGUAAUACGAAGGGUGCAAGCGUUAAUCGGAAUUACUGGGCGUAAAGCGCGCGUAGGUGGUUUUGUAAGUUGGAUGUGAAAGCCCCGGGCUCAACCUGGGAACUGCAUCCAAAACUGGCGAGCUAGAGUACGGUAGAGGGUGGUGGAAUUUCCUGUGUAGCGGUGAAAUGCGUAGAUAUAGGAAGGAACACCAGUGGCGAAGGCGACCACCUGGACUGAUACUGACACUGAGGUGCGAAAGCGUGGGGAGCAAACAGGAUUAGAAACCCCAGUAGUCC